Molecule: ribosomal RNA, 253 nt
Filed under: uncultured bacterium
Lineage: Bacteria
Description: partial 16S ribosomal RNA
Rfam family: Bacterial small subunit ribosomal RNA
Source: RNAcentral
UACGGGGGGGGCAAGCGUUGUUCGGAAUUACUGGGCGUAAAGGGUCUGUAGGUGGCUUGCUAAGUCAGACGUGAAAUCCCUCAGCUUAACUGGGGAACUGCGUCUGAGACUGGCGAGCUUGAGGGCAGGAGAGGAACGCGGAAUUCCAGGUGUAGCGGUGGAAUGCGUAGAUAUCUGGAGGAACACCGGUGGCGAAGGCGGCGUUCUGGACUGCAUCUGACACUGAAAGACGAAAGCCAGGGGAGCAAACGGG